RNAcentral lists this transfer RNA (25 nucleotides) under Lepidophyma tuxtlae. RNAcentral describes it as "partial tRNA-Ser". The record is from RNAcentral. Lineage: Eukaryota; Metazoa; Chordata; Lepidosauria; Squamata; Xantusiidae.
GAGGAGCGUAUAGCACAAAAAGAGC